UACAGAGGUCUCAAGCGUUGUUCGGAUUCAUUGGGCGUAAAGGGUGCGCAGGCGGCCAAGUGUGUGAGGCGUGAAAGCCCGGGGCUUAACUCCGGAAUUGCACCUCAAACUACACGGCUAGAGCAUUGGAGAGGGUAGCAGAAUUCAUGGUGUAGCAGUGAAAUGCGUAGAUAUCAUGAGGAAUACCAGAGGCGAAGGCGGCUACCUGGACAAUUGCUGACGCUCAGGCACGAAAGCGUGGGGAGCAAAAGGG
RNAcentral lists this ribosomal RNA (253 nucleotides) under uncultured bacterium. RNAcentral's name for it is "partial 16S ribosomal RNA". It matches the Rfam family "Bacterial small subunit ribosomal RNA", at positions 524 to 776 of the family's 1533-position model. The record is from RNAcentral.